AGCAUGCGAUUUGUUUUCUUGCUGCAGCUGAACGUCAAUCUAGAAGCGUUAUCGCGGCCCCUCAGGCCCCCGGUCGGCAUUUUUUUAAAUGGAUCUCAGAAGAAAAACUCAGACGGGUCAGACGGUGGAGCUGGAGCUUUUGUUUUUUGAAUUUUGUUGUGUAGCGGAGCAACAACCGAGAGGACGUCAUCUUCCUACCCAGCUAGCCACCUGCUCGUCCCCGGAGAAUUCAAACCGGAAAUGGCCACAACAAAACAGGAUAAAUGUAAAAGAGAUUUGACGAAGCUCUACAGGAUGUUCUGCAGCUGAAGAGAACUGUAGAAGAGACGCGCUAAGUCCGAUCCUGAAGGCGUUCUGACGAUUACCCAACUCACAGAGAACCUUGAGACGUUAAUUUGGACCCCCGCACUUCAUGCCAAGAGGGCGAGUCGAUCUUCAGGGAUCUGCAAGCUAAUUACAGCUCCCAGAGUGAGAAAGUUAAUCAACGUCUCCUCAUCUGUGAAGCAUUGUUUCCAUUUUUAAACUCCAUGAGGUCAAAGUUCAGAGUCCCUGUCUUGGCCGCUGUUACACGCCGGGUCUCUACAUCAAACAAAGGUUUGGAAAAUCAAUCAAUUUCGGUAGCAUUUAGCUUCUUUGGUGGUUAAUGUUUCUGCUCAGCUUGACAACUUACUGCACUCGGUUGGAAAAUUAUGCGCCAGAAGUGUUUGCAAUGUGUGUAGGAGCUGCAAGAAACAUGAUUCAUCAAGUCUGAAAGGACCCUAAACUGCAGACGCAUUCCCCAUAGGCCUCACGGUGAAGGAUGGACUUAAGGGUGCGACUAAGUGAGCGGUUGGGCCGCAGCGUGUUCGCCUGUUUGGUGCAGGGAGGAGGAUGAUCUUUGACAGAUCUCUGAACAUCACACCCUCCUGACCACCCAGGCCUGCAGGACACACACACACCCUCUGGGUUUGGAGUGAUACUCAUGGAUCUGUUGAUGGAUUAAUGACUCAUGUGUGUUACUGAGGCAAAAAGACUGUGUGUCUUGUGUGCGUUCUUGCAUAUUUCUUGUUGCUGUUUUUGCCGUUUGCGUAUCAAAUCGCACGUGUUGACCACUGUUGCCAGGAAACAACCGUGGUGGCCAUUCUCUGGUGAAGCUUGGUGGGUGCUGCAACCCCCCCACGCCCCCCCACUACCUCACCUACCUCACUAGAAAAUAAAAAACAAUACCAGAAUGCUGCUAUAGUCAGAACUUUAUUCUAGUGGGAGUUUGGAUGCGUUCCGACUGUUACCGGCCACAUCCUCCAUGUUUAUAUUCUUAUAUUUAACAAAAUGUCGCCCGAUUGCAUCACGAAGAAAAAAACGGUGCAAUUUUUACGAAAUGGUUUGUUUUUCUAAAAUGAAGUUUGCACGUGGCUGAAAGAGACAUGAAACUGUAGAUUUUGUUUAAUUCUGAAAGUUUAUUUUGAAAGGCCACUGUAUGCAUGUAACAAGCAGAAAACACAGACGCUUAUUUAAUAAAAGACCCAA
This is a long non-coding RNA of Gasterosteus aculeatus aculeatus (three-spined stickleback), 1506 nucleotides long. RefSeq lists it as uncharacterized. Lineage: Eukaryota; Metazoa; Chordata; Actinopteri; Perciformes; Gasterosteidae. The record is from RefSeq and is a predicted model, not a curated record.